UCCCUGGCAGUCCAGUGGUUAGGACUCGGCACUUCCACUGCCAGGAUCCAGGUUCAAAUUCUGGUUGGGGAU
RNAcentral lists this transfer RNA (72 nucleotides) under Bos taurus (domestic cattle). It matches the Rfam family "tRNA". Rfam says of the family: Transfer RNA (tRNA) molecules are approximately 80 nucleotides in length. Their secondary structure includes four short double-helical elements and three loops (D, anti-codon, and T loops). Further hydrogen bonds mediate the characteristic L-shaped molecular structure. tRNAs have two regions of fundamental functional importance: the anti-codon, which is responsible for specific mRNA codon recognition, and the 3' end, to which the tRNAs corresponding amino acid is attached (by aminoacyl-tRNA synthetases). tRNAs cope with the degeneracy of the genetic code in two manners: having more than one tRNA (with a specific anti-codon) for a particular amino acid; and 'wobble' base-pairing, i.e. permitting non-standard base-pairing at the 3rd anti-codon position. Lineage: Eukaryota; Metazoa; Chordata; Mammalia; Artiodactyla; Bovidae. The record is from Rfam by way of RNAcentral. RNAcentral also lists the same sequence under 5 other names.